AGAGAUAGGAUAAUUCCGUUUGAAGCUGGGCUGUUCUGUAGGCGUGGGGUUCGUCCUUGCGUUUUGUAUGCAGCCUCGUGUAUCGAAAGGGAAUCAGGUUAAUAUUCCUGAACCGAGACGUGGAUAAUAUGUGGUAACACAACCGACCCAGGAGACGCUAGCGUGUGCCCAGGGAAGAGUUCUCUUUUCUUUUUAACAAGCAUAUCCUACCUUGGAAACGGAUUAUCCGGCGAUAAGGAGGAUGCCUUGGCAAAGCACUUUACUUUUUGAAGUGUCCUGCGCGCCCACCGACAGCCCUUGAAAAUCCUGGCUAGAGAUUUAUUCGCACCCUCGUUCGUACUCAUAACCGCAUCAGGUCUCCCAAGGUUAGCAGCCUCU
Molecule: non-coding RNA, 378 nt
Filed under: Phytophthora infestans T30-4
Lineage: Eukaryota; Oomycota; Peronosporomycetes; Peronosporales; Peronosporaceae
Description: Eukaryotic large subunit ribosomal RNA
Rfam family: Eukaryotic large subunit ribosomal RNA
Source: Rfam by way of RNAcentral